UACGGAGGGGGCCAGCGUUGUUCGGAAUUACUGGGCGUAAAGCGCGCGUAGGCGGACCUGCAAGUCGGGGGUGAAAGCCCGAGGCUCAACCUCGGAACUGCCUUCGAUACUGCGGGUCUCGAGUCCGGGAGAGGUGAGUGGAAUUCCUAGUGUAGAGGUGAAAUUCGUAGGUAUUAGGAAGAACACCAGUGGCGAAGGCGGCUCACUGGCCCGGUACUGACGCUGAGGCGCGAAAGCGUGGGGAGCAAACAGG
Molecule: ribosomal RNA, 253 nt
Filed under: uncultured bacterium
Lineage: Bacteria
Description: partial 16S ribosomal RNA
Rfam family: Bacterial small subunit ribosomal RNA
Source: RNAcentral